UACGUAGGGGGCAAGCGUUGUCCGGAAUCAUUGGGCGUAAAGAGCGUGUAGGCGGCCUGAUAAGUCGGCUGUGAAAGUCAAGGGCUCAACCCUUGAAUGCCGGCCGAUACUGUCAGGCUAGAGUCCGGAAGAGGCGAGUGGAAUUCCUGGUGUAGCGGUGAAAUGCGCAGAUAUCAGGAGGAACACCGGUGGCGAAGGCGGAUCUCUGGACCAGUUCUGACACUGAUGAGCGAAAGCCAGGGGAGCAAACAGG
RNAcentral lists this ribosomal RNA (253 nucleotides) under uncultured bacterium. RNAcentral describes it as "partial 16S ribosomal RNA". It matches the Rfam family "Bacterial small subunit ribosomal RNA", at positions 524 to 776 of the family's 1533-position model. The record is from RNAcentral.